RNAcentral lists this ribosomal RNA (404 nucleotides) under uncultured bacterium. RNAcentral's name for it is "bacterial SSU rRNA". It matches the Rfam family "Bacterial small subunit ribosomal RNA", at positions 29 to 430 of the family's 1533-position model. The record is from RNAcentral.
AUUGAACGCUGGCGGAAUGCUUUACACAUGCAAGUCGAACGGCAGCACGGGGGCAACCCUGGUGGCGGGUGGCGAACGGGUGAGUAAUACAUCGGAACAUGCCCAGUCGUGGGGGAUAACGUAGCGAAAGCUACGCUAAUACCGCAUACGAUCUCUGGAUGAAAGCGGGGGACCGCAAGGCCUCGCGCGAUUGGAGUGGCCGAUGGGCAGAUUAGGUAGUUGGUGGGGUAAAGGCCUACCAAGCCGACGAUCUGUAGCUGGUCUGAGAGGACGACCAGCCACACUGGGACUGAGACACGGGCCCAGACUCCUACGGGAGGCAGCAGUGGGGAAUUUUUGGGACAAUGGGCGAAAGCCUGAUCCAGCCAUUCCGCGUGCAGGAUGAAGGCCCUCGGGUUGUAAAC